This 305-nucleotide ribosomal RNA is filed under the name uncultured bacterium. RNAcentral describes it as "bacterial SSU rRNA". It matches the Rfam family "Bacterial small subunit ribosomal RNA", at positions 338 to 641 of the family's 1533-position model. The record is from RNAcentral.
CCUACGGGGGGCAGCAGUAGGGAAUCUUCGGCAAUGGGCGAAAGCCUGACCGAGCAACGCCGCGUGAAUGAAGAAGGCCUUCGGGUUGUAAACCUCUUUUGUCGGGGAGCAAGACCCGCCUCGUGCAGGCGGAGCGAGAGUACCCGAAGAAAAAGCAUCGGCUAACUCCGUGCCAGCAGCCGCGGUAAUACGGAGGAUGCGAGCGUUAUCCGGAUUUAUUGGGUUUAAAGGGUGCGCAGGCGGACCAUCAAGUCAGCGGUAAAAUCGUGGGGCCCAACCCCAUCCCGCCGUUGAAACUGGCGGCC